GUGUUCUCAUUCAGGAAUACAGAUACUAAAAUUGGAACAAUUCAAAGAAGAUUAGCAAGGCCUCUACACAAGAAUGACACACUGAUUUAUGACAUGUUCCAUAUUCUC
Small nuclear RNA from Peromyscus maniculatus bairdii (prairie deer mouse), 108 nucleotides. NCBI's taxonomy places the organism in Eukaryota, Metazoa, Chordata, Mammalia, Rodentia, Cricetidae. The record is from Ensembl.